UGUGAAGGAAAGGUGAAAAGGACCCCGGGAGGGGAGUGAAAGAGAACCUGAAACCCUGUGUUUACAAGCUGUGGAAGCACGUUAAGGUGCAACCGCGUACUUUUUGUAGAACGGUCCGGCGAGUUGCGGAUGCUGGCAAGGUUAAGCACUAAAGGUGCGGAGCCGAAGCGAGAGCAAGUCUGAAUAGGGCGUCAAGUCAGCAUGUGCAGACCCGAAACCGGGUGAUCUAUCCAUGUCCAGGUUGAAGCGAAAGUAAAAUUUCGUGGAGGACCGAACGCACAUCCGUUGAAAAGGGUGGCGAUGAGGUGUGGAUAGGGGAGAAAUUCCAAUCGAACCCGGAGAUAGCUGGUUCUCCUCGAAAUAGCUUUAGGGCUAGCCUCGAUACAGAUUUGCGGAGGUAGAGCACUGAAUUUCCUAGGGGGCGUCAAAGCCUACCGAAGAAUAUCAAACUCCGAAUGCCGCGUAAUCGAUUAUCGGGAGUCAGACUGCACGAGAUAAGUUGGGCGGUCAAAAGGGAAAGAGCCCAGACCUUCAGUUAAGGUCCCCAAGUGCGCGUUAAGUGGAAAAGGAUGUGGGAUUUCGAAGACAACCAGGAUGUUGGCUCAGAAGCAGCCAUCCAUUCAAAGAGUGCGUAAUAGCUCACUGGUCGAGAGGUCCUGCGCCGAAAAUGUCCGGGGCUGAAACGCGCCACCGAAACUAAGGAACCGAAAGGUUGGUAGAGGAGCAUUGCAUGCGGAACGAAGCAGUACCGUAAGGAGCUGUGGACUGCAUGGAAGAGAGAAUGCCGGAAUGAGUAGCGAGAUAGAGGUGGGAAUCCUCUAGGCCGAAUAUCCAAGGUUUCCAGAGUAAAGCUGAUCUGCUCUGGGUAAGUCGGGGCCUAAGGCGAGGACGAGAGUCGUAGCCGAUGGACAACAGGUGGAGAUUCCUGUACUGCGGUAUGACAGAACUGUGGGGACACGUAAGGAAAGCGGAAGCCGGGAAUGGAAAGCCCGGUGCAAGCGGGGUACCAGCCACUCUGGCAAAUCCGGGUGGCAAUGGGAAGCCGUGAUGCGGAGCGAAAUAAAGUAGCGAAGUCCGUGAGCCAUGCGUCAAGAAAAGCCGCUAUUGUUUGUACCGUACCCGUACCGUAAACCGACACAGGUGGAUGAGGAGAGAAUCCUAAGGCCGGCGGAAGAAGCAUUGUCAAGGAACUCGGCAAAAUGGCCCCGUAACUUAGGGAUAAGGGGUGCCUCAGAAAUGAGGCCGCAGAGAAUAGGCUCAAGCAACUGUUUAGCAAAAACACAGGUCUAUGCGAAACCGAAAGGUGAGGUAUAUGGGCUGACGCCUGCCCGGUGCUGGAAGGUUAAGAGGAGAGGUUAGCGCAAGCGAAGCUUUGAAUUUAAGCCCCAGUAAACGGCGGCCGUAACUAUAACGGUCCUAAGGUAGCGAAAUUCCUUGUCGGGUAAGUUCCGACCC
Molecule: ribosomal RNA, 1455 nt
Filed under: human gut metagenome
Description: bacterial LSU rRNA
Rfam family: Bacterial large subunit ribosomal RNA
Source: RNAcentral